AUUGAACGCUGGCGGCAUGCCUUACACAUGCAAGUCGAACGGUAACAGGUCUUCGGACGCUGACGAGUGGCGAACGGGUGAGUAAUACAUCGGAACGUGCCCGAUCGUGGGGGAUAACGAGGCGAAAGCUUUGCUAAUACCGCAUACGAUCUACGGAUGAAAGCGGGGGAUCUUCGGACCUCGCGCGGACGGAGCGGCCGAUGGCAGAUUAGGUAGUUGGUGGGAUAAAAGCUUACCAAGCCGACGAUCUGUAGCUGGUCUGAGAGGAUGAUCAGCCACACUGGGACUGAGACACGGCCCAGACUCCUACGGGAGGCAGCAGUGGGGAAUUUUGGACAAUGGGCGAAAGCCUGAUCCAGCCAUGCCGCGUGCAGGAUGAAGGCCUUCGGGUUGUAAACUGCUUUUGUACGGAAAGAAAAGCCUCUUUCUAAUAAAGAGGGGUCAUGACGGUACCGUAAGAAUAAGCACCGGCUAACUACGUG
Molecule: ribosomal RNA, 482 nt
Filed under: uncultured bacterium
Lineage: Bacteria
Description: partial 16S ribosomal RNA
Rfam family: Bacterial small subunit ribosomal RNA
Source: RNAcentral